GCACAGAAAAGGAUUCUGAGUGUCUAGUC
RNAcentral lists this non-coding RNA (29 nucleotides) under Rattus norvegicus (Norway rat). Lineage: Eukaryota; Metazoa; Chordata; Mammalia; Rodentia; Muridae. The record is from RNAcentral.